CUGAGGGCGAAACAAACGAGGGAGGGAUGCCUCGAACACCAGCCUGGCGCUGGAAAUCGAGAUGCGAUCCCCUUUGCAGAGCAAGGAGAGCAGAGCGAAGCAUCCUGGAGACCCCCAACGUGGAGAGAUCUUGCUGCUGCUGCAGGGCAAAUGCAAAGAUUUUCACCCUUUGCAAGGGAACAUGGAUGGGAAGAAGAACUCCGUUUGGAAGUGGAAGAGCUGGGUUUGAAAUGAAGUCGCACAACAGGACUGACCUCUCCCUCCCCCAGAAAGCAGCAGGAGGAGCUGGCUGCAUAGUUUUAUUCUCACAGGUACUUUCCACAUGUCUGGUGUUGCCUACUGCCUUAUCCCAGCUGGAGGAAACCCCAUGUGCACCCAGCUGUUCAUCCAGGCCAUGGAAACCUCCUUGUGUGCAUCACUGUUGGAACUUCCCUUGGGACCCAAAGCCCUCUCUGUCCCUGGCUAGAUGAAGGACCACAGGAUAAACCCUCCCUGGACACCUUCUGCCUCUCCUAUUGAAAUGAGAUGAGGAAGGUUGUGGAUGUCCCUUCCCUGGAGUUGUCCAAGGCCAGGUUAGAUGAGGUCUUGAGCAACCUGGGCUAGUGGAAGAUGUCUCAGCCCAUGGCAGGGGGUCGAGACUGGAUGAUCUUUAAGGGCCCUUCCAACCCAGCUGGCAAAGAGCUGCUGCUCCUCUGCUGGGAGGAGAAUCCUCCUGUAGUCGGGAGGCAACUGAGUGCCAGACCCUAGCUCCUGAGUCAGGACCAGCUCCCUGAGCCCUGCUGAUGAAGAUUAGGCCACAGUGGGUGGCUGAACAGUGAUGGGGCUGAAUCAUCCAUGGGUUUGGCUUGCAAGGGACAUUUCAAGGCCACCUAGUCCAACCUUCAGGGGGGUUGGUCAGCAGAGACAUCUUCAACUAGAGCAGGUUGCUCAGGGCCACAAACAACCUGACCUAGAACGACUCCAGGGAUGGGGUAUCCACCACCUCCCUGGGCAGCCUGGGCCAGGGUCUCCCCACCCUCCUUGUAAGCAAUUCAGACUAGAUACAAGCAAGAAUCUCUCCUCUUCAGGCUAA
Molecule: long non-coding RNA, 1072 nt
Organism: Pogoniulus pusillus (Red-fronted tinkerbird)
Lineage: Eukaryota; Metazoa; Chordata; Aves; Piciformes; Lybiidae
Exons: 2
Source: RefSeq, a predicted model, not a curated record